This 328-nucleotide ribosomal RNA is filed under the name Chelydra serpentina (North American snapping turtle). RNAcentral describes it as "partial 12S ribosomal RNA". It matches the Rfam family "Bacterial small subunit ribosomal RNA", at positions 868 to 1354 of the family's 1533-position model. Lineage: Eukaryota; Metazoa; Chordata; Testudines; Chelydridae. The record is from RNAcentral.
UCCGCCAGAGAACUACGAGCAAUACGCUUAAAACUCUAAGGACUUGGCGGUACCUCAAACCCCCCUAGAGGAGCCUGUUCUAUAAUCGAUAACCCACGAUCUACCUCACCAUCCCUUGCCAAUUCCGCCUAUAUACCACCGUCACCAGCUUACCCUAUGAAGGGACACAAAAGUAAGCAAAACAGCCUAAACAACUAACAAGUCAGGUCAAGGUGUAGCUAAUUGAGAUGGAAGAAAUGGGCUACAUUUUCUACAUUAGAAAUAAUUCACGGAAGGAACCAUGAAAUGGGUCCCACAAGUAGGAUUUAGCAGUAAACUGGGGAUAGAG